Molecule: ribosomal RNA, 440 nt
Filed under: uncultured bacterium
Lineage: Bacteria
Description: partial 16S ribosomal RNA
Rfam family: Bacterial small subunit ribosomal RNA
Source: RNAcentral
CCUACGGGUGGCAGCAGUGGGGAAUAUUGCACAAUGGGGGAGACCCUGAUGCAGCGACGCCGCGUGAGCGAUGAAGUAUUUCGGUAUGUAAAGCUCUAUCAGCAGGGAAGAAGAUGACGGUACCUGACUAAGAAGCCCCGGCUAACUACGUGACAGCAGCCGCGGUAAUACGUAGGGGGCAAGCGUUAUCCGGAUUUACUGGGUGUAAAGGGAGCGUAGACGGCGAUGCAAGCCAGAUGUGAAAGCCCGGGGCUCAACCCUGGGACUGCAUUUGGAACUGUGUGGCUGGAGUGUCGGAGAGGCAGGCGGAAUGCGUAGUGUAGCGGUGAAAUGCGUAGAUAUUAGGAGGAACACCAGUGGCGAAGGCGGCAUGCUGGACGAUGACUGACGUUGAGGCUCGAAAGCGUGGGGAGCAAACAGGAUUAGAUACCCGGGUAGUC